This 497-nucleotide ribosomal RNA is filed under the name uncultured bacterium. RNAcentral's name for it is "partial 16S ribosomal RNA". It matches the Rfam family "Bacterial small subunit ribosomal RNA", at positions 28 to 507 of the family's 1533-position model. The record is from RNAcentral.
GAUGAACGCUGGCGGCGUGCCUAAUACAUGCAAGUCGAGCGAACAGACGAGGAGCUUGCUCCUCUGACGUUAGCGGCGGACGGGUGAGUAACACGUGGAUAACCUACCUAUAAGACUGGGAUAACUUCGGGAAACCGGAGCUAAUACCGGAUAAUAUAUUGAACCGCAUGGUUCAAUAGUGAAAGACGGUUUUGCUGUCACUUAUAGAUGGAUCCGCGCCGCAUUAGCUAGUUGGUAAGGUAACGGCUUACCAAGGCAACGAUGCGUAGCCGACCUGAGAGGGUGAUCGGCCACACUGGAACUGAGACACGGUCCAGACUCCUACGGGAGGCAGCAGUGGGGAAUCUUCGGCAAUGGGCGAAAGCCUGACGGAGCAACGCCGCGUGAGUGAUGAAGGUCUUCGGAUCGUAAAGCUCUGUUAUUGGGGAAGAACAAAUGUGUAAUUAACUAUGCACGUCUUGACGGUACCUAAUGAAAAAGCCACGGCUAACUACGUG